UCAGGCCUAACACAUGCAAGUCGAACGCACCGCAAGGUGAGUGGCCCACGGGUGAGUAACACGUGGGAAUGUAUCCUUUGGUUCGGAAUAACGUCUGGAAACGGACGCUAAUACCGGAUGAGCCCCCCUGUCUGACGAUGGGGUGGGGAAAGAUUUAUCGCCGAAGGAGCAGCCCGCGUCUGAUUAGGUAGUUGGUGGGAUAAAGGCCUACCAAGCCGACGAUCAGUAGCUGGUCUGAGAGGAUGAUCAGCCACACUGGGACUGAGACACGGCCCAGACUCCUACGGGAGGCAGCAGUGGGGAAUAUUGGAAGAUGGGCGCAAGCCUGAUCC
Molecule: ribosomal RNA, 332 nt
Filed under: uncultured bacterium
Lineage: Bacteria
Description: bacterial SSU rRNA
Rfam family: Bacterial small subunit ribosomal RNA
Source: RNAcentral